Molecule: antisense RNA, 149 nt
Filed under: Winslowiella iniecta
Lineage: Bacteria; Pseudomonadati; Pseudomonadota; Gammaproteobacteria; Enterobacterales; Erwiniaceae
Description: Erwinia iniecta sok antitoxin (CssrC)
Rfam family: sok antitoxin (CssrC)
About the family: Also identified in Shigella as CssrC.
Source: Rfam by way of RNAcentral
GGGUGCCUGAAGCUGUUUGCUGCAGGCAUUAUUCAGGAGCAGACAGAAGAAGGCCCCAGGUCAAUUUUCAUUAACCUGAGGCCACUCCUGCACAUCCAACAAUGUCAGGAUAGCCUCUUAACAGCAGAUUUGCAAUGUAGGUUAAGAUG